This 306-nucleotide unclassified non-coding RNA is filed under the name Zea mays. RNAcentral describes it as "misc RNA Zm00001eb069760". Lineage: Eukaryota; Viridiplantae; Streptophyta; Magnoliopsida; Poales; Poaceae. The record is from RNAcentral.
CUGCCUACGUGCGCAGCGGCCGCCGUGCCCCACUGGCAUGGUCGUGUGCAUCCCUCCGGCGAGGGCCGCUGCACCCGCCUGAUGGCCGGCGGCACUUCCCAGCCCCGUGCCCCCGUCUCGUCGCUGUUGCGCCGCCGUCUAUUGUUGCAGCCGCUUGCCGCGGCCUGCCCGCGCUGCUCCAGCACGCCACCAGACAUGGCCACCGACGAGUUCGCUCAGCCGGUGUCGCCUCCUUCCCUGUGUUGUGCCGCCCCAUACUGCAAGUUGAAGAAAAGAAAACUGUCUCUGCUUCGUUCGUUCAUGUGA